UAGAAAUAUUACCUUUAGAAAAACCAUUUAGAUAACAAAAAUCUAUACGAUUAAAUUUAAAGAGCUAAGUGUUUUAGCCUGUUUGUCUCCUUUCCGACAAUCGUCUGAAGUAUUAUAUGAUAAUAAAUAGUUAGUGUGUGUAAUGUGCAUUACAACUUCAUACGAUGAUUUCUUUGAUUAGCGUACCUUAACUUAUCAAACCCCAAAUAAAGUUCCGUAGCUGGUUCC
This 228-nucleotide long non-coding RNA is filed under the name Mytilus galloprovincialis (Mediterranean mussel). The record is from RNAcentral. Lineage: Eukaryota; Metazoa; Mollusca; Bivalvia; Mytilida; Mytilidae.